GGAAGGUUGGCGAGGACUACGCUUCCCGGCGUGCAUCCUGUCCACGUCGCACCAGCAGCUAUCGGCGGUGCACGCCGGGACGUGUAGUUCAGGGGGGGGGGACGGAGGGGCCUCCGCGGCGCGUUGCUCGCCGGGAUGUGGAGCCUCGUUGUGGUGAGCGGGCAUUUAUUACAUGCAUCUUGCAGGCAGCCUUGGACAACAGCUGGUGGAAAGAAUGUUCUACUCGGUGGAGAGAAACUGUGUGUCACUGCCAUGGCCUGUCACCCAGCCACAGUGUUCAAGCUUGUAUUUUCAAAGAUAGUCAUAUUGUUAAUCGUCUUUGUUGGAGAGAGAGCUUAAUACGUACUGAUCUCAUUCCCCGGAGCAACUUGGUCAUAGGUUAGCACUGUACAGUGAAACAGUGUAUGGGGUAAGGAGGUGUGCAGCAUGAUGUUGGAUCAGUAGCACUGUGGUGAGGUGUGAUGUAGGGAUAGAGUAAGGAAAAUGCAAGUAGUCAGGAGGGGGGUGGGUAUCCUGAAGAGAUAUGGGGAAACUUCAGUAUGGGUAGAGGAACUACAGUGAGGGAAGGCACUCAGGAGAGCUGACUGAUUUUCAAAUAGGCCAUACACUCCUUUGGUUUGGGAAUACUUAAAAGUUCCUUUUAGAGAGUGAAUUUCUUUACUUCAUUUUGCUUGAAUGCCUGUGUUGGAUAUUCAACGAAGCCAGCUGGAACAAUACAUGUGAAGAUAGAUUGCCUUGACUUGGUUGUGACAGCUGAAAAUGGUUUAUGGCAUCUGAAUUGUGAUGGUAUUAUACUACACACAAAAACUGUGUAGCUGCUCUUUGAAGUACUGAGACAUAAAAAGUUGAAGUACAAACAUUUGGCAUAUUGAUUCACAUUUUGCCAUGUGAACAUUAGUGCUAUUCUAAAUCAUUUCAGUGACCAUGACUUUUGCAUAUGUUACAUUUCCCAGGAACAAUUUGUUUCUGAGAUGUCAGUGUCACAUUACCACAUUAUGUUCGUAACUUUUGACUGAACGGGGAUGGAAUGGUUAUGGGGUGGUGAAGAUCAUCUGUUCCAAAAGUGUUCUGCCCACAUGGUUACCGUGCUGCAUUCUAUCAGAUAAGCAUGUUAAGACCAAUCAGACAAUAGAAAACUCUAUGGUGUGUAAGGUCUUCAUGUCCUUCUAAGCAGAUCCACUCAAGUAGGGAUUUAACUUUUUUAAUCCUCACUGUUUCCAAUUAGACAUUAAACUAAGCUGUUUCUGACUUUGGGAAUCCUACAUACAUAUACUUAUUACAAGCAAGUGUACGAGAGAAAAAAAAAAUCAGAUAAUUUCAGAACAAUUCUGCUCUAGUCUGCUGCACAACCUUGAACACUUUAAAAUUAUCUUAAAUCAUUUAGCGUUAUCCUUCCCAUGCUGGUUUCUAUACCUCAGCCAGCUUACCCUGUCACUGCUUAAACCUGAUUUCUUAUUACUGCCAGAAACAUAGGCCAUCAUGAAGGAAGUUACAAGUAUUUUCUUCAAGAACAUUUAUUACAAUUGGGAUUCAGCUAUAGUAGAUGCAGUGUUCCAGAGGAAGUUACACACAGAGAAAAGCUAAUUGCGAAGAGAUUUUUUCCAGCUGAUAGCAAACAACUUCACAGAUGGAGUGGUACUCCUGAUCUGUUCCCUGUAGACAUGCAUAUUAGACGCUCUUGGUUCAUUCACAAAGAUAGCUGAAAGCUUAAUUAACUGCUGGAACCUGAAAGGAUUUAUCUUGCUUUACACUUGCAAAUAUAUUCCCCAAAUGCUGAAGAUGAGAGAAGAGCAGGUUUAGUUUAGAGAUGCAUUCACAGCACUAGAAUUUGAACCCUCAAAAAUUUGCCCUUUCACUUCACAUGGGAGUUGUGAUCCCACUGAUUGCAGAGGACAUCAGGAAUGUGCUACAUCUUUGUCUAUCAUCCUGGAAAGAACUAUACCACACAGCUUUACUCGGCUUAAAGGGAAUCCUUUAGGAUGACAAGUUUAAAGCUGGUUAUCGUUUUUUACAGCUGGUUUUUGGGGUAAUAAAAGGAAAAUUGCUGCUCACUGCUGCAAGCAGAUAUUUGAGCCAAGAACCUUACAGUCAUGGCUUAUCUCUUAGAUGCGUGACUGACUUUGUACAUCUGAACUUUGAAUUUUUAAAAAGAUGUCUGGAAAGAAAGUUUUUACAAGUGUAUCUGCUGAUUAUAUUAACAAACCACAGAUGGUGUCAAAGAAGUGAUCUAGAUUUAAAUAUGAAACAAAAAAGAAUGGUACAACAAUCUUUAACUUAAAGCAAACAAAUUGAAAAAGCAGCAUAACCUAUGCUAGAACAGUUGUGUGGGUAAAUGUGUGUUUUAAGGCUAUCCCUGAAUUACAUUGAAUAAAAUACUGCGUUCCAAAAGAUGAAAGCACAUUAACUGGAGAACUAGAAACUUGGCUUUGGAAUCUUAAUCAUAACAAUGCUCUCUUAAGGGUGUUUCCCCUCCUCCUUCUCUCCACCCUUUUAUUUUCUGUUUUCAUUAUUUUUAAAGUUAGAUUACAUUCCAUAAUAAAUGGUAGGAGUUUCCAAAGUAGGGCACAUUUGGAACUAAAUAAAUCAUAAGCUGCCUUUCACUUCCUAAGCCAAAGUUUUAGCGAAGUUUUUCUUUCUCCUUAAAGCUGAAAACUUGUUCACAUGCAGUUUAAGUAAGAAUCCCAAAGCAUCUUUCCAAAAGCAGUUGGUGCUACUGUGCUAAUUGUCACCUAAAACUGUUUCAUUUUUGGACAAUAGAAGAUACUCAUUUAGGGGAGAUUUCUACACUUACCAAGAAGAAUAAAUAAUAUCUACAGCUGUGAACUGCUUAGGCUUUCCUUCCUUAACCCAGAUGAUCCACUUCUGUAAAGCAAAGCAAAGUGUCUGAUUCCAUCAGCUUUAAAUAGAGAAAGAUCUGGGAAAAAAAGUGCUGAAAAUAAUACAUGCAUCCGGUUAAGCAGUUGACUGAAGCAACUGUCAAAUGGGCUGCAAUUGCCUCU
Pezoporus occidentalis (night parrot) is the source of this 2999-nucleotide long non-coding RNA. RefSeq lists it as uncharacterized. The record is from RefSeq and is a predicted model, not a curated record. The transcript has 2 exons. NCBI's taxonomy places the organism in Eukaryota, Metazoa, Chordata, Aves, Psittaciformes, Psittacidae.